Molecule: transfer RNA, 67 nt
Filed under: Hygrotus nigrolineatus
Lineage: Eukaryota; Metazoa; Arthropoda; Insecta; Coleoptera; Dytiscidae
Description: tRNA-Tyr
Rfam family: tRNA
About the family: Transfer RNA (tRNA) molecules are approximately 80 nucleotides in length.
Source: RNAcentral
GGUAAAAUGGCUGAAUCUAAGGUAAUAAACUGUAAAUUUAUUUAUGAAAUUUUAAUUUCUUUUACCA